This is a non-coding RNA of Peromyscus maniculatus bairdii (prairie deer mouse), 2886 nucleotides long. The record is from RefSeq and is a predicted model, not a curated record. Lineage: Eukaryota; Metazoa; Chordata; Mammalia; Rodentia; Cricetidae.
AGUGCAACAGCCAGAGUGGUGCUUCAUAAAAGCAAUUCCAACUACUGAGUUUGUUAGAAACUGGCAUAUGUAUUCUACAGAACUUUGGAUUGAACAAAAUAAAAUAGACAAUGAGAUAGUUAAUGAAUUACCUGAUUUGAGACAAGCUGGUAUAUUGUUGAGAGAUCAGUUAGAACUAUCAAAGGAGCAAAUAAAGUUAAAAUGUGAUUGGAAUGUUAUGUAUUACUCCUUUAAAGUUUAAUGAAAGCGAGUAUGGUUGGGAAAAGAUAAAAAUGCAUUUGAUGGGUCACCCUUACUCUUCUCAAAUGAUUUAUGAUUUACAGCAAGAAAUUAAGAAUUGUUAAAUGUUACCUGAUAUGACAAGAAUGGAUGUUAUGGAAAGCCUUGCAGAUACUAUAGCCUCAUUCAACCCUGCACAUCACUUUAACAGAUUUCUUGUUUUAGCAAGGGUUAUUCUUUUGCUGGCAACAGUAACCUUAUUGGCUUUAAGAUGUGUUUUGAUUUACUUACAUAGAUUGUAAAACAGAACAAUAGAGAAAAGGCUGUAUUUGCUGUGAAGCUACAUAACCUCCAAAAUAAUUAAUUGUUGCAUGUAAAAAGGGGGAUAUGUUGGGAGAAUUUCUGCAGAACUGCAGCUGGUUUGAUUCCUGAGUGUUAGCACCUAGCUUUGAUCUGCCUUUUGUGAUUGCUACCUCCUGUCUGCAUUAUCUCCUGUUUGAAGUCUUAUCUGAGAGUUUGCUAGGAGUUCAAAGCCUAUGAAAACUUGGUUCAGGGACACCCCAGAAAACUGUAGUAUUCCUUUACUGAGAAUUUGCAUUUGGCAUUGUCCCAUUGAGGGGCUUAGAUAAGAGGUAUAAGGAAUUGACUUGCUAAAGUUGUGAAUUGCAUAACAAUAAAAGGGUCCUUUGCUUAUCUACAGUGUUUCAGUUCAGAGAGAUGGACCCCCUCUGAAUGUGAUAAAGUCUAAAAUCAUUAUUAGAGUGCUCUGUGCCUUCUUUCUUUGAGCCCCAUGAACACACAUCCAAUAUACCACAGUUUCUCUUAGGAAAAGGAGAUUGAGUGAAUAGCACCUGGAUUGUUAAGGCUGAUGUUAUCUCCACCUUCAGAUCCUAUUCCUGGUCUGAGCCAGGGCCUCCACCAUCACAUCUACAAGUGGCCAGCAUGAAGAGAAUCAAAGCAAAGGGCCCCCUCUUCCCUUCUCAAAAGCAGAAAUUUAGCCUUGAGCAGGUUCUGCCAGGGAAGAAACUGAGGUUCAAGGGGGGAAAUGCACUCGGCCUUGGCCACAUUGUCAUUGGGGAUCCUAGGGCUUACAGGCAGUCUCAAGUGCUCCCUCAUGCUCAUUCUCAGCCCUGAGCCCAGCUGUCUUCCUGAACACUGGAAAUCCCAAGCUCAUGUUUCUGACUUUGUACCUGUUCCUGACUUUAUGACAGAUACAGUCUCUUCCUCCCUCUGCAUGAACUCUGGAAGCAGUACAUCCACGACCUGUGCAACAGGCUCAAGCCAGACAUGCAGCCACAGAUGAUUCAGGCCAAGCACAUAAAGGCAAAUCUUCAUGGUGCUAUUAUCUCAGUCAUGAAAUCCAAGUGACCCUCUUAUUGGGGGGACACAGGAAUCCUUCCGCAGGAGACAAGGCAUGUCUUCAAGACCAUCACCGAAGAAGACAACCUAGGGUGUCUUCUAUUUUUGUCCCUAGGGUGUUGGAUAUAUAUCUCCAGUGAGGCUCCCAAGUUCCACUUGGCUGUGGAGUCACACAAGCUGCAGGUGCUUGCUAUGUUAUGAACUCCAGAGAGAGGCCCCUGCAUCUCUGGCUCCCAGGAGACAUCUAUGAAUACAGCAGCCUGUUCAUAAACAGGACAGAAGAAUGGCUUGGCUGGGUCUUGGUCCCAGGGUUGUUCAAGGUCUCUACCUGUCAAUGUCAUUGAAGGGGCCUCCCACACAGCAGGGGCUCCCUUCCAGACCCUGGAUUAGGUACAAAGCACACCCAAACACCAGUUUUCACAGAGAGAUAGUCUGUUAAGCUGGGAAGAAAUGUUGAAGUGGCUGCUUUCUGAUUCAGGCAGAAAAACAGCAUCAAAUGACUUUGCAGGUGUCUCUUAAGAAGAUAAAAGGACAGGUUUGUGUUAGAAUGAGCUGGGAUGCAUUCAUAUAGGAGAUAGAUUAUGAGGGAGAUGAGGAAGGGAAGGACAGGGUUAUUUAUCCCAGAAGGACAAAGUACUGUCUCUGGAUAGAAAGGAGACAGCCAUGGAACAUAGGCAAAUGCCUGGUUAUAAAGCUGUUAUUCUGAGUUGUUUAAUUUUAAUUGGACAUGUUAAUUAGUUGAGCCAAAGGGGGCUUCUGAUGGCUGGACUUUGGUUGUCAGCCUUAGGAGGAAGAAGUGGCCAAAUAGGUGACUAGACCUUGAUGGCUAGCUUUAGGAGUGUAAUCUAAGGAUUUUUAGCAAGGAAGAAGGAAUAGGGGAGAAGGGCAAGGCCUGUCAGAGACACAUGCUUUAGUGGGCUAGUGUCCUUUCAGUCACCAUCUCUCAAAUGUAUAACUAAAAGGCACAGAGGAGGAACCAAAACAGCCUGCCCCUGGAGUUCUGAAAACUGUACCCUUUCUGGAGACACUCUGAGUUUUAACAUGGUUAGCACUGCUCUAAGCAGGUACUUUUGAAUCUUCUGAGAUAACUGUACCUGACCUUGCCCACAAAUCCAAAGUUGAAACAACCAUUAGGGGGUUUUGUACUGAUUCAUCUGUUGAUGCUGGAGAUCAAGCCCAGGACCUCUGUCUGCUAAUCCUGUGCUCUGCACCUGAACUGUUAUGCCCCAGAUCUCAGGCACCCCUAAAUGACCACCAUGGAGACUGAAUCACAUAUUUAAAAAUAAAGAGCAUUUAUUUCAAGCUCAA